CAAAUCCUGCGGUGUUCGCCUCGGUUAAUCGUUAUUUUGAACCAAUGAUGAUGUCUAGGGAGAUUUAUAUGUAGCGUCGCUGAAAAGCCCUGUCUAUAUGACGAGGGGACUUCAAACACACUUCUGCGAUCACCCACCUGCUACUGCAGGUUCAGAAGACAAUAUAAUCGGACGGCAUAGCGGGUUUUUG
Molecule: non-coding RNA, 190 nt
Filed under: Paenibacillus sp.
Lineage: Bacteria; Bacillati; Bacillota; Bacilli; Caryophanales; Paenibacillaceae
Also listed under: 1 other name
Description: 6S RNA
Rfam family: 6S / SsrS RNA
About the family: E. coli 6S RNA was the first non coding RNA to be sequenced, but its function was unknown until recently. It consists of 184 nucleotides that fold into an extended hairpin structure with a large single-stranded internal bulge.
Source: RNAcentral